RNAcentral lists this ribosomal RNA (472 nucleotides) under uncultured bacterium. Its description in RNAcentral is "bacterial SSU rRNA". It matches the Rfam family "Bacterial small subunit ribosomal RNA", at positions 335 to 802 of the family's 1533-position model. The record is from RNAcentral.
ACUCCUACGGGAGGCAGCAGUGGGGAAUAUUGCACAAUGGGGGAAACCCUGAUGCAGCCAUGCCGCGUGUGUGAAGAAGGCCUUCGGGUUGUAAAGCACUUUCAGUAGGGAGGAAGGUAGUGUAGUUAACACCUGCAUUAUUUGACGUUACCUACAGAAGAAGCACCGGCUAACUCCGUGCCAGCAGCCGCGGUAAUACGGAGGGUGCGAGCGUUAAUCGGAAUUACUGGGCGUAAAGCGCAUGCAGGCGGCCUGUUAAGUCAGAUGUGAAAGCCCGGGGUCUUAACCUCGGAAUUGCAUUUGAAACUGGCAGGCUAGAGUCUUGUAGAGGGGUUAGAAUUUCAGGUGUAGCGGUGAAAUGCGUAGAGAUCUGAAGGAAUACCAGUGCGAAGCGGCCCCUGGACAAAGACUGACGCUCAGAUGCGAAAGCGUGGGAGCAAACAGGAUUACGAUACCCCGUGGUAGACUGUCA